CCUACGGGUGGCAGCAGUGAGGAAUAUUGGUCAAUGGGCUUACGCCUGAACCAGCCAAGUCGCGUGAGGGAAGACUGCCCUAUGGGUUGUAAACCUCUUUUGUCAGGGAGCAACGCCGGCUCCGUGUCGCCGGACUGAGUGUACCUGAAGAAAGAGCAUCGGCUAACUCCGUCCCAGCAGACGCGGUAAGACGGAGGAUGCGAGCGUGAUCCGGAUUUAUUGGGUUUAAAGGGGGCAGAGGCGGAAGGCCAGGUCCGCGGGAAACUCGCGGGGCUCAACCUCGCUCCGCCGUUGAAACUGGCGUGCUUGAGUGGGCGAGAGGUAUGCGGAAUGCGUGGUGUAGCGGUGAAAUGCAUAGAUAUCACGCAGAACUCCGAUUGCGAAGGCAGCAUACCGGAGCCCAACUGACGCUGAGGCACGAAAGCGUGGGUAUCGAACAGGAUUAGAUACCCGGGUAGUC
RNAcentral lists this ribosomal RNA (460 nucleotides) under uncultured bacterium. Its description in RNAcentral is "partial 16S ribosomal RNA". It matches the Rfam family "Bacterial small subunit ribosomal RNA", at positions 338 to 795 of the family's 1533-position model. The record is from RNAcentral.